GUGCCAGCAGCCGCGGUAAUACGGAGGGUGCAAGCGUUAAUCGGAAUUACUGGGCGUAAAGCGCACGCAGGCGGUUGAUUAAGUUAGAUGUGAAAUCCCCGGGCUUAACCUGGGAACUGCAUUUAAAACUAGUCAGCUAGAGUCUUGUAGAGGGGGGUAGAAUUCCACGUGUAGCGGUGAAAUGCGUAGAGAUGUGGAGGAAUACCGGUGGCGAAGGCGGCCCCCUGGACAAAGACUGACGCUCAGGUGCGAAAGCGUGGGGGAGCAAACAGGAUUAGAUACCCUGGUAGUCCACGCUGUAAACGAUGUCGACUUGGAGGUUGUGCCCUUGAGGCGUGGCUUCCGGAGCUAACGCGUUAAGUCGACCGCCUGGGGAGUACGGCCGCAAGGUUAAACUCAAAUGAAUUGACGGGGCCCGCACAAGCGGUGGAGCAUGUGGUUUAAUUCGAUGCAACGCGAAGAACCUUACCUGGUCUUGACAUCCACAGAAGUUUUCAGAGAUGAGAACGUGCCUUCGGGAACUGUGAGAC
This 530-nucleotide ribosomal RNA is filed under the name uncultured Morganella sp. RNAcentral describes it as "bacterial SSU rRNA". It matches the Rfam family "Bacterial small subunit ribosomal RNA", at positions 505 to 1035 of the family's 1533-position model. The record is from RNAcentral. Lineage: Bacteria; Pseudomonadati; Pseudomonadota; Gammaproteobacteria; Enterobacterales; Morganellaceae.